GUUGAUCCUGCCAGUAGUCAUAUGCUUGUCUCAAAGACUAAGCCAUGCAUGUGUAAGUGUAAGCGAUUAACGGUGGGACUGCGAAUGGCUCAUUAAAACAGUGAUAGUUGAUGUGAUGGGUGCAGAUGGAUACCCGUAGUAAUUCUAGAGCUAAUACAUGCCACGUGUUUAUUAGAUCUCGUCCCGCUGGGAACAACAGUAAGCGAGAACCGCGUCGGGAGACGCGGGGCAUCAUGCAAGUUUCUGCCCUAUCAGCUUUGGAUGGUAGUGUCUUGGACUACCAUGGCAGUGACGGGUGACGGAGAAUUAGGGUUCGAUUCCGGAGAGGGAGCCUGAGAGACGGCUACCACAUCUAAGGAAGGCAGCAGGCGCGCAAAUCACCCAAUCCUGACUCAGGGAGGUAGUGACCAGAAAUAACGACGACGGGUUUCGAUUCGUCGAUUGCAAUGAGCACAAUGUAAAAUUCUUAGCGAGUACCGACUGGAGGGCAAGUCUGGUGCCAGCAGCCGCGGUAAUUCCAGCUCCAGUAGCGUAUAUUAAAGUUGUUGCAGUUAAAAAGCUCGUAGUUGGACGUCUCUGCGACACGCAGCUCCGCCACGCAACUGGGCACGCUCUUAACUGAGCGGCCGAGACCUGCGGGCCCUUUACCUUGAGGAAACUAGAGUGUUUAAGGCAGGCUCCGCCUGAAUACUGCAGCUGGGAAUAAUGCGCACGACUGUCUUGGCGAGGCAGCUCCACACUUUUAAUAGGAACAGUUGGGGGCAUUCGUACUCAGCAGUCAGAGGUGAAAUUCUUGGAUUUGCUGAAGACGGACUAGUGCGAAAGCAUUUGCCAAGGAUGUUUUCAUUAAUCAAGAACGAAAGUUAAGGGAUCCAAGACGAUCAGAUACCGUCCUAGUCUUAACCAUAAACGAUGCCGACUAGGGAUCGGGAGAGACGUACACACUCUCUCGGCACCUCACGAGAAAUCCAAGUCUUUGGGUUCUGGGGGGAGUAUGGUCGCAAGACUGAAACUUAAAGGAAUUGACGGAAGGGCACCACAAGGAGUGGAGCCUGCGGCUUAAUUUGACCCAACACGGGGAAACUUACCAGGUCCAGACAUAGUGAGGAUUGACAGAUUGACAGCUCUUUCUUGAUCCUAUGGGUGGUGGUGCAUGGCCGUUCCUAGUUGGUGGAGUGAUCUGUCUGGUUAAUUCCGAUAACGAACGAGACCUCAGCCUGCUAACUAGAUCUUCUUAGAGGGACUUCCUGCUCGCACAGGAGGAAGUGAGGCAAUAACAGGUCUGUGA
Molecule: ribosomal RNA, 1288 nt
Filed under: metagenome
Description: SSU rRNA
Rfam family: Eukaryotic small subunit ribosomal RNA
Source: RNAcentral